GAAGGGGGGGAUCUUAGGACCUCUCGCUACAGGGGCGGCCGAUGGCAGAUUAGCUAGUUGGUGGGGUAAAGGCCUACCAAGGCGACGAUCUGUAGCUGGUCUGAGAGGACGACCAGCCACACUGGGACUGAGACACGGCCCAGACUCCUACGGGAGGCAGCAGUGGGGAAUUUUGGACAAUGGGGGCAACCCUGAUCCAGCAAUGCCGCGUGUGUGAAGAAGGCCUUCGGGUUGUAAAGCACUUUUGUCCGGAAAGAAAACGCUCUGGUUAAUACCCGGGGCGGAUGACGGUACCGGAAGAAUAAGCACCGGCUAACUACGUGCCAGCAGCCGCGGUAAUACGUAGGGUGCAAGCGUUAAUCGGAAUUACUGGGCGUAAAGCGUGCGCAGGCGGUCCGCUAAGACAGAUGUGAAAUCCCCGGGCUUAACCUGGGAACUGCAUUUGUGACUGGCGGG
This 456-nucleotide ribosomal RNA is filed under the name uncultured Burkholderia sp. RNAcentral describes it as "bacterial SSU rRNA". It matches the Rfam family "Bacterial small subunit ribosomal RNA", at positions 189 to 640 of the family's 1533-position model. The record is from RNAcentral. Lineage: Bacteria; Pseudomonadati; Pseudomonadota; Betaproteobacteria; Burkholderiales; Burkholderiaceae.